AGAUGAUGACAGUCACGUUUUUUCCCCCGUCUCAGCAGGUGCGGACGCCACCCGAUGAAGCAUGUAUCAUUGAGGGGACUCCGAAGUUCUAUUUGGAUAAAGGGAUUAUGUUUUGGUAAAAACCUGAAAAAUAUCAUGGCAACCAGCAAGUUUCAAAGAUGAGACGUUAACAACGACGACAUCUAGAGCCUAACGCGUGAAUAUGAAACCCACAGACAGAUCAGAUUUGGCACAUCUCCCUCCGAUGUCUGCGACCUGAAUCCCUCUGCCUGCAAAUGUGAACCAUGUGUGCACCUCCUGCCCCCUUCAUUGUAAGGUGUACUCAUGAGAAGACGCUACAAUGCCAGCAAUAUUUUGGUCCCUCAAGGGCAGUCCUUGUGGGUGAGGAGAAUCUGCUUCAGCUGACCGACCUCCGACCUCAGUGACGUCACCUCAUUCUGGGGGAAAAGUAAAAUAAAUCUGAAAACCUGUCCACAAAACACAUGUGCUUGUCAGAAAGCGCUGCGUUCCACCUGCAGCUGAAGCGGGUAGCGGCCGCUCGAUUGCGUUCCAGGAACUUUUGUCUGCGCUCGUCGGGGUCCUGCUCGGUCGUCCUCCUCCGCCGGUUGCAGCUUCCGCCUGCCUGCAGCGCAUGCUGGGAGUGCGGCGAUUGACAGGGGUGCAUUUGCUGCGGAACCGGCGAUACCUGUGGAAGCACGGUGAUAUCUCAAUGCUGAAAGAUGAGUUGAAGAAGCCGACCGGUGAUGGAGAGGCAUCACACCUGUGCAGUUGGUACAUACCUGUUUGCUCUCCUCCGCUUCCUGCUCCUGAAGAAACUCCUCCUCGAUCUCCUUGAACAGACCAACUUCUUCACAGUUCUGCAAAAACCGAGUGGGAGUUGGCGUCUGGUCUGGAGGGGGGUCACAUAUACAACACCAC
Hippocampus zosterae (dwarf seahorse) is the source of this 918-nucleotide long non-coding RNA. RefSeq lists it as uncharacterized. The record is from RefSeq and is a predicted model, not a curated record. The transcript has 5 exons. Lineage: Eukaryota; Metazoa; Chordata; Actinopteri; Syngnathiformes; Syngnathidae.